GCUGGAAUGGCCGAGUGGUUAAGGCGAGUGAUUUGAAUUACCUUCAAAGGUAUCACUUGGUGUUUCACCGCGUAGGUUCAAACCCUGCUUCCAGCG
Molecule: transfer RNA, 96 nt
Filed under: Ephemerocybe angulata
Lineage: Eukaryota; Fungi; Basidiomycota; Agaricomycetes; Agaricales; Psathyrellaceae
Description: Coprinellus angulatus tRNA
Rfam family: tRNA
About the family: Transfer RNA (tRNA) molecules are approximately 80 nucleotides in length. Their secondary structure includes four short double-helical elements and three loops (D, anti-codon, and T loops). Further hydrogen bonds mediate the characteristic L-shaped molecular structure. tRNAs have two regions of fundamental functional importance: the anti-codon, which is responsible for specific mRNA codon recognition, and the 3' end, to which the tRNAs corresponding amino acid is attached (by aminoacyl-tRNA synthetases). tRNAs cope with the degeneracy of the genetic code in two manners: having more than one tRNA (with a specific anti-codon) for a particular amino acid; and 'wobble' base-pairing, i.e. permitting non-standard base-pairing at the 3rd anti-codon position.
Source: Rfam by way of RNAcentral